GAUCGAAUGAUGACUCCCACAUAUGCAUUCCUUGGAAAUUGGAACAAAAUGAGUGAGGAAAAAAAAAUUACAAUGUCUUUUCUCUUUUACUUGAUUAUU
RNAcentral lists this small nucleolar RNA (99 nucleotides) under Zalophus californianus (California sea lion). RNAcentral's name for it is "Small nucleolar RNA SNORD116 (ENSZCAG00015007617.1)". It matches the Rfam family "Small nucleolar RNA SNORD116". From Rfam's summary of the family: HBII-85 is a member of the C/D class of snoRNAs, which contain the C (UGAUGA) and D (CUGA) box motifs. HBII-85 is encoded in a tandemly repeated array with another C/D snoRNA, HBII-52, in the Prader-Willi syndrome (PWS) region of chromosome 15. The record is from RNAcentral. Lineage: Eukaryota; Metazoa; Chordata; Mammalia; Carnivora; Otariidae.